AAGGAGCACCGAUUCGAUUCCCCCGCCGUCCGCGUAGUCGUGGGCAGUAGUGCGGUUGGGAUAUUUCAGCCAGGACCUGUAGUGGGUGUCUGGUGGGUGCAAAUGACAAACGUUGAGCCGGCGCGGGAAAGCGUUGGUGAUGGAACUGCUGAACACACUAUUGGGCUUUGAGACAACAGGCCCGUGCCCCUUUCGGGGGGUGGCAUUCCGUUGGGAGUGUCGGCGUGUUGUUGCUCCGCUUUGGUGGUGGGGUGUGGUGUUUGAUUUGUGGAUAGUGGUUGCGAGCAUCUAGCACGCAGUGUGGCUGGGGGCCUUCGGGUUUCCGGUCUUGUUGUGUGUUGAUGUGCAAUUUCUUUUGAAACUCAUUUUUGGUUUUUGUGUUGUAAGUGUUUAAGGGCGCAU
This 402-nucleotide unclassified non-coding RNA is filed under the name Mycolicibacterium porcinum. RNAcentral describes it as "16S-23S intergenic spacer region". Lineage: Bacteria; Bacillati; Actinomycetota; Actinomycetes; Mycobacteriales; Mycobacteriaceae. The record is from RNAcentral.